CCUACGGGCGGCAGCAGUGAGGAAUAUUGGUCAAUGGCCGAGAGGCUGAACCAGCCAAGUCGCGUGAGGGAAGACGGCCCUACGGGUUGUAAACUUCUUUUGUCGGGGAGCAAAGCGAGUCACGUGUGACUCAUUGAGAGUACCCGAAGAAAAAGCAUCGGCUAACUCCGUGCCAGCAGCCGCGGUAAUACGGAGGAUGCGAGCGUUAUCCGGAUUUAUUGGGUUUAAAGGGUGCGCAGGCGGAGGUGCAAGUCAGCGGUCAAAUUGCGGGGCUCAACCCCGUACUGCAGUUGAUACUGCAUGCCUUGAGUACGCGAGAAGUAGGCGGAAUGCGUGGUGUAGCGGUGAAAUGCAUAGAUAUCACGCAGAACUCCGAUUGCGAAGGCAGCAUACCGGCGCGCAACUGACGCUCAUGCACGAAAGCGUGGGUAUCGAACAGGAUUAGAUACCCGAGUAGUC
Molecule: ribosomal RNA, 459 nt
Filed under: uncultured bacterium
Lineage: Bacteria
Description: partial 16S ribosomal RNA
Rfam family: Bacterial small subunit ribosomal RNA
Source: RNAcentral